This 345-nucleotide ribosomal RNA is filed under the name uncultured bacterium. Its description in RNAcentral is "bacterial SSU rRNA". It matches the Rfam family "Bacterial small subunit ribosomal RNA", at positions 28 to 375 of the family's 1533-position model. The record is from RNAcentral.
GACGAACGCUGGCGGCGUGCUUAACACAUGCAAGUCGAGCGGUAAGGCCCUUUCGGGGGUACGACGAGCGGCGAACGGGUGAGUAACACGUGGGUGACCUGCCCUCAGCUCUGGGAUAAGCCUGGGAAACCGGGUCUAAUACUGGAUAUGACUCCAUGACGCAUGUUGUGGGGUGGAAAGCCUUGUGCGGCUGAGGAUGGGCCCGCGCCUAUCAGCUUGUUGGUGGGGUGANGGCCUACCAAGGCGACGACGGGUAGCCGGCCUGAGAGGCGACCGGCCACACUGGGACUGAGACACGGCCCAGACUCCUACGGGAGGCAGCAGUGGGGAAUCUUGCGCAAUGGG